UAUCUGGCAAUGUGUGUGAGAAAGACACCAACCAUUCUGUCUGCAACACCAAGGCUGAGCUGGUGGCCAAAAUCAAAGAGCUGUCUGAAGAUCUUCCCAGGUACACAGUGAAGAACACAUGCACCAAGUUCCGGUGCCAUCUUGAGUGCUCUGGUGGAUGCUGAGAGUGGCUA
This is a long non-coding RNA of Octopus sinensis (East Asian common octopus), 173 nucleotides long. RefSeq lists it as uncharacterized. The record is from RefSeq and is a predicted model, not a curated record. NCBI's taxonomy places the organism in Eukaryota, Metazoa, Mollusca, Cephalopoda, Octopoda, Octopodidae. The transcript has 3 exons.